Molecule: unclassified non-coding RNA, 237 nt
Filed under: uncultured Entoloma
Lineage: Eukaryota; Fungi; Basidiomycota; Agaricomycetes; Agaricales; Entolomataceae
Description: sequence contains ITS1
Source: RNAcentral
UUGAAUAAACUUGGUUGGGUUGCUGCUGGCUCUUAGGAGCAUGUGCACGCUCGGUCAAAUUUUUAACCACCUGUGCACACACUGUAGGCCUGAAUGAACUCUGUCGAGGAAAACUCGGUUUGAGAACUGCCGAGCUGUUCUUGCAUUUCAGGUCUAUGUUUCAAACAUAUACUCCAUAUACAAGUGAAAUAGAAUGUCAAUCUUUUACUGGCUUUUUUGUGCCUUUAAAACCUAAUA